This 219-nucleotide ribosomal RNA is filed under the name uncultured bacterium. RNAcentral describes it as "partial 16S ribosomal RNA". It matches the Rfam family "Bacterial small subunit ribosomal RNA", at positions 28 to 247 of the family's 1533-position model. The record is from RNAcentral.
GACGAACGCUGGCGGCGUGCUUAACACAUGCAAGUCGAGCGGUAAGGCCCUUUCGGGGGUACGACGAGCGGCGAACGGGUGAGUAACACGUGGGUGACCUGCCCUCAGCUCUGGGAUAAGCCUGGGAAACUGGGUCUAAUACUGGAUAUGACUCCACGGUGCAUGUCGUGGGGUGGAAAGCCUUGUGCGGCUGAGGAUGGGCCCGCGGCCUAUCAGCUU